ACCAAUUCAGGAGGAUGACUCUGUUCCUCUUUGUAUAAUGGCUUGGACGCGACAUGCUAUUCUAGUAAAUAGAUGUGUGGUUAUAUCCUGAUUGGUGGUGUUCUUUGUGCCAAUCCAAUCCUGGAAAGGCCACAUAAAUUC
Molecule: small nucleolar RNA, 141 nt
Organism: Sorghum bicolor (sorghum)
Lineage: Eukaryota; Viridiplantae; Streptophyta; Magnoliopsida; Poales; Poaceae
Source: Rfam